UGCCCGAACGUAACACGACACCACCGUCCGCCAAAUAACUACGAGUACAAACUUAAAAUUUAAAGGACUUGACGGUAUUUCACACUCAACCUAGAGGAGCCUGUCUACUAACCGAUAACCCACGAUUAACCCAACCGCUUCUAGCCCCCAGCCUAUAUACCACCGUCGCCAGCCUACCUUAUAAAAGAAACAAAGUGAGCUAAACAGUAAUACACUAAAACGACAGGUCAAGGUGUAGCUAAUGAAUCGGAUUAGGAUGGGCUACAUUUUCUAACCCAGACUAUACGAACCAGGCCAUGAAACAAGCCUUCGAAGGCGGAUUUAGUAGUAAGCCGAGAACAUAAUACUCAACUGAAACCAAUGCAAUGAAAUGCGU
This 376-nucleotide ribosomal RNA is filed under the name Rhinophis philippinus. Its description in RNAcentral is "partial 12S ribosomal RNA". Lineage: Eukaryota; Metazoa; Chordata; Lepidosauria; Squamata; Uropeltidae. The record is from RNAcentral.